Molecule: ribosomal RNA, 251 nt
Filed under: uncultured bacterium
Lineage: Bacteria
Description: partial 16S ribosomal RNA
Rfam family: Bacterial small subunit ribosomal RNA
Source: RNAcentral
CCAAAGCUGGCGACCGGCGCACGGGUGAGUAACACGUAUCCAACCUGCCGAUAACUCGGGGAUAGCCUUUCGAAAGAAAGAUUAAUACCCGAUGGCAUAAUUAGACCGCAUGGUCUUAUUAUUAAAGAAUUUCGGUUAUCGAUGGGGAUGCGUUCCAUUAGGCAGUUGGUGAGGUAACGGCUCACCAAACCUUCGAUGGAUAGGGGUUCUGAGAGGAAGGUCCCCCACAUUGGAACUGAGACACGGUCCAA